This 498-nucleotide long non-coding RNA is filed under the name Mus musculus (house mouse). RNAcentral's name for it is "long non-coding RNA chr5:122323761-122324259". The record is from RNAcentral. Lineage: Eukaryota; Metazoa; Chordata; Mammalia; Rodentia; Muridae.
GCGGCUGGCGGGAUUGGCGAGAUUGGCUGAAGCUGUGCGUGUCUGAGUAGGUUCAUGGCUCUGUGUCACUGUACAGCAGCUCUCUUUGGCAAAGUUGUAACACUCACUUUCUUGGAAAUUGUCACAGUUUUACAUUUAAAAAAAUUUGCAAUAGCAAAAAAAAAAAAAAAAAAAAAAAGAAAAGAAAAACAUAAAACAACAUAAUAUGAAACAGAAGACAUUUGGAUUCUAUUUCUUUCAAAAAAGUAAAUUUAUCACAAAAUUGAACUUCUCAAUAAAGCAGUGUCCAUGUCAAAACAUAACUGUUAGUAGGUAGUCUGUGGCAACGAUGAGUAAAUGACGAAGCAAGUCUGAGUCUGUGUGUACUGAUGCGCUGCCUUUUCUGUUGAGACUAUCAUCGUGCGUCCUACCAGAGGCAAUGACCCGAAUCGAUGUUGGAAAUAUAACUUAUGCAGGAAUAGUUCUGUAAAUACAUUUAAAUAAACUGUAAAGAUAUUU